This 325-nucleotide long non-coding RNA is filed under the name Setaria italica (foxtail millet). Its description in RNAcentral is "long non-coding RNA (SITA_LNC006656)". The record is from RNAcentral. Lineage: Eukaryota; Viridiplantae; Streptophyta; Magnoliopsida; Poales; Poaceae.
AAUGAGCGAACGUGGCAGGUGUGUUUCACUGUUUUUUAUUUGUUCGGUUGUUGUGGAGCCGUCACGGGCUCACGGCCUCACCUCAGGAACCAUGGACGGAGGCUGGAGCCACGGAUCAGGACGCGGAGGGAUGGAAGGCUGGACCUCACAGAUCUAGUUUAGCAUUAGUGGCGAUCGUGCUGUUUCGUCUGCGAUCUCACGAUGUUGCUUUUUAUAUCCUCCACGACAUGGACGGGAAAAGCAACAGUCAGUGUCCCGGUGGCGGCUGUGGCUGGAAAUCGCCACCACCGCCAACUGUCGCCUCCGGGCUAUCAAUAAUCAUGAC